Molecule: ribosomal RNA, 111 nt
Filed under: uncultured bacterium
Lineage: Bacteria
Description: partial 16S ribosomal RNA
Rfam family: Bacterial small subunit ribosomal RNA
Source: RNAcentral
CGGGCCUUGUACACACCGCCCGUCACACCACGAAAGCUGUUUGUACCCAAAGCUAUUUUAGCCAACCCGUAAGGGAGGCGAGUAGUUAAGGUAUGGAUAGUGAUUGGGGUG